AACCAGAAGGCGCAGUGAGAGUGAAGGCACGGCCGCCGUGCCGAGGUGAGAGCCGCCCGUGCGGCGGCGCAUCAUCGACCGAUCCCGACCGAGCCGCCCGCGGCACGGCGGGAUUCGAGUGAGAGCGCAUCUGCUGCGACCCGAAAGAUGGUGAACUAUGCCUGAAUAGGGUGAAGCCAGAGGAAACUCUGGUGGAGGCCCGCAGCGAUUCUGACGUGCAAAUCGAUCGUCAAAUUUGGGUAUAGGGGCGAAAGACUAAUCGAACCAUCUAGUAGCUGGUUCCCUCCGAAGUUUCCCUCAGGAUAGCUGUAGCCCCGGGCAGUUUUAUCAGGUAAAGCGAAUGAUUAGAGGUAUCGGGGAAGAAACUUCCUCGACCUAUUCUCAAACUUUAAAUUGGUAAGAGGUCCGACUUGCUCGAGUGAAGCCGGACGACGAAUGCUGGGUUACUAGUGGGCCAUUUUUGGUAAGCAGAACUGGCGAUGCGGGAUGAACCGAACGCCGGGUUAAGGUGCCAAAGUCGACGCUCAUCAGAUCCCACAAA
This 541-nucleotide ribosomal RNA is filed under the name Darwinella rosacea. Its description in RNAcentral is "eukaryotic LSU rRNA". It matches the Rfam family "Eukaryotic large subunit ribosomal RNA", at positions 705 to 1218 of the family's 3401-position model. Lineage: Eukaryota; Metazoa; Porifera; Demospongiae; Dendroceratida; Darwinellidae. The record is from RNAcentral.